RNAcentral lists this long non-coding RNA (1159 nucleotides) under Homo sapiens (human). RNAcentral describes it as "non-protein coding lnc-CCDC146-4:6". Lineage: Eukaryota; Metazoa; Chordata; Mammalia; Primates; Hominidae. The record is from RNAcentral.
CAAAAAUUAGCUGGGCAUGGUGGUGGGCACCUGUAAUCCUAGCUACGUGGGAGGCUGAGGCAGGAGAAUCGCUUGAACCCAGGAGGCGGAGGUUGUAGUGAGCUAGGAUCAUGCCAUUGCACUCCAGCCUGGACAGCAAACCUAGACUCCAUCUCAAAAAAAAAAAAGAAAAAGUAAAAAAUUUAAAAAUUAGAUGGGCAUGGUGACAUGUGCCUGUAAUCCCAGGUACUAAGGAAGCUGAGGUAGGAGGAUGACUUGAGCCUGGGAGUUCGAGGCUGCAGUGAGCUCUGAUCGCACCACUGCACUCCAGCCUGAGUGACACAGCAAGACCCUGCUUCAAAAAAAAAAAAAAAAAAAAUUACUGGACACAAUUAUUGUGCCAGACCCCUAGGUUAACAGUGAGGAUUCAGUGGGAGAACUAAACAGAUAAACAGAUCCAGUCCCCGCCCUCAGAGAGUUACAGUUUAAUGGGAAAAAGAGACAUUCACCAAAGAAGGACACAGCCCACUAGUGAGUUACACUCGAGAGGGAUCAUUUACAGAACAAAGCAGACUAUAAAAAUACAGCGAUUGGCUGGGCGCAGUGGCUCACGCCUGUAAUCCCAGCACUUUGGGAGGCAGAGGCGGGCGGAUGACUUGAGGUCAGGAGUUCUCAACCAGCCUGGCCAAAAUGGUGAAACCCCAUCUCUACUAAAAACACAAAAAUUAGCCAGGCGUGGUGGUGGGCACCUGUAAUCCUAGCUAGUUGGGAGGCUGAGGCAGGAGAAUGAAUCGCUUGAACCCAGGAGGUGGAGGUUGCAGUGAGCUGAGACCGCACCAUUGCACUCUAGCCUGGGCAACAAGAGCAAAACUCCGUCUCAAAAUACAUACAUACAUACAUGCAUACAUACAUACAGGGAUUAAAAUAGUCUAGUACUGACACCUGAACAGACAGAUUGAUCCAAGAAAUGAAACAGAAAUUCCAGAAGUUGACCUGAAUACACACAUACACACACACACACACACACACACACACACACAGGAAGGCGUGAAAGACUCCAUGACCCUCAAGGUAUAAGAUGCAUUUUUUUUUUUUUUUUGAGACAGGGUCUCACUCUGUCACCCAGACUGGAUGCGGUGGUGCACUAUCCCAGCUCAGCUCUACCCUCCAUCCCCCCAAC